UAUUUCUUUAAUUCGUUACUAAUUUUACUUAUUUCUUUAAUUCAUUCCUGUUUGUUUACCAAAAAUAAAUUUAAAAUUCCAGCAUUUUGCGUGUCUAGAAGAAACGAUAAAAAGUGUCACAUAAAAUAUGAAUAUUACACAUAGGUAAUUUAUUUCAUCAGCAAGUACAAAAUGCAUUAAUAAAUUAAAUCUUUCACUUGAGGCUUCGGAGAUACUCUAGAGCCGGGCCCUAUCAUGACUCGUCUUAUUUCCUCACUUUAGCGUUGCCAAGUUCUGAACCUUAAUGUAAGCAGUUGAGUUAUAA
RNAcentral lists this long non-coding RNA (304 nucleotides) under Citrus sinensis (sweet orange). Its description in RNAcentral is "long non-coding RNA (CSIN_LNC005727)". Lineage: Eukaryota; Viridiplantae; Streptophyta; Magnoliopsida; Sapindales; Rutaceae. The record is from RNAcentral.